RNAcentral lists this Y RNA (101 nucleotides) under Phasianus colchicus (ring-necked pheasant). RNAcentral's name for it is "Y RNA (ENSPCLG00000005025.1)". It matches the Rfam family "Y RNA". From Rfam's summary of the family: Y RNAs are components of the Ro ribonucleoprotein particle (Ro RNP), in association with Ro60 and La proteins. The Y RNAs and Ro60 and La proteins are well conserved, but the function of the Ro RNP is not known. Lineage: Eukaryota; Metazoa; Chordata; Aves; Galliformes; Phasianidae. The record is from Rfam by way of RNAcentral.
GGCUGGUCCGAUGGCAAUGGCUAUUAUAAUAAUUGAUCACAGUCCGUUACAGAUUUCUUUGUUCUUUCUCCACUCCCACUGCUGCAUUUGACUAGUCUUUU